This 1057-nucleotide long non-coding RNA is filed under the name Gopherus agassizii (Agassiz's desert tortoise). Its description in RNAcentral is "lncRNA (ENSGAGG00000004681.1)". The record is from RNAcentral. Lineage: Eukaryota; Metazoa; Chordata; Testudines; Testudinidae.
UGCCAGCCAGGACCGAUCCCUACAUCUGAACACUGGGCUGUUCAAAAUCCCGGCCUGGAGCCCAGGGCCAGGGCUCGGGGCCACGGAUGUUCUUGCACCCCCAGGUCUGCCCCAUGCUGCAGGGGACCCACUCACAGCUCACAAGGAGGGGAGCGAUUGGGAAGAGGUGGCUGGGGAGAUUGAGGGGACAGGGCUAGAAUUCAGGAGCCCUGGGGUCAAUUCCCAGCUCUGCUGCAAACUUCCUGUGUGAUCUUGGGCACCUCUCCCUGCACCUCAGUUCCCUUGCAGGAAAAUCAUCCUUUAUUUCUCCCACCUUGUGUCUAUUUUGACUGUGAGCUGUUGAGAGCAGGGACUGUCCCCUCCUGUCCGUACAGCGCCUGGCACACAGGGGCCUGCAGGUGCGGCUGUACUGCACGUGCUGAUAAUCAAGUGUUCUGCAUUUCCACUGACGUCGCUGUGACUUUCUUCUAGGUCUGCAGCUAUUGGAUGAAGCACAGGCAGGAGUCCAGAUGCUGAAAGACCUGCUGGGUAAUGUCAGUGCAGAUCCAGUGCAGAUCAAGAUCUGGCUGGACAUCAGUGCAGCGCGACCAGCAGUGAAAGAUUGCUGCAGUGACGUGCUGACAAAGCUCUCCAGGGGCUGGAGGUUUUACGGCGGGAACCUCUAUUACUUUUCACAAGGAAGGAAGUCGUGGGAAGAGGCUGAGCGGUAUUGUGUGUCUCAGGACUCGCACCUGACCUCUGUCUCCUCCCAGGCAGAACAGGCAGCUGCGGCUGCAUCCUGCAGCCUCUCUUGGGUGACCUGCACAUGCUGCAAACUGUGUUGUGCAGGAGUUUCUCACCACCGAGACCAAGGGACAAAAUUACUGGAUUGGACUCAUCGACCGGGAGACAGAAGGCAGCUGGCGCUGGGCGGAUGGCACAGAUUACAGAGCAGACGCAAGCAGGGGGUGAGUGAAGCUUGAGAGAAGUGAGUAUUUAUUACACGUUUGGUCACAAGCUCUUUCAGGCAGGGUCUGUACGGCCCCUUGUGUCUAUGCAGCACCCUGCACAGCGGGCC